Molecule: ribosomal RNA, 1306 nt
Filed under: uncultured bacterium
Lineage: Bacteria
Description: bacterial SSU rRNA
Rfam family: Bacterial small subunit ribosomal RNA
Source: RNAcentral
AACGUACGCUGGCGGCACGCCUAACACAUGCAAGUCGAACGAAGUAGCAAUACUUAGUGGCAGACGGGUGAGUAACAUGUAGGUAUCUGCCCUUUGGCCUGGAAUAACACGAGGAAACUUGUGCUAAUACCGGAUAAGUCUUUACGGAGAAAGCUUUAUGCACCAUUGGAUGAGCCUGCACUUGAUUAGUUUGUUGGUGGGGUAAUGGCCUACCAAGACUGUGAUCAAUAGCUGAUUUGAGAGGAUGAUCAGCCACAUUGGGACUGAGACACGGCCCAAACUCCUACGGGAGGCAGCAGUGGGGAAUCUUGCACAAUGGAGGAAACUCUGAUGCAGCGAUGCCGCGUGAGUGAAGAAGGCCCUUGGGUUGUAAAGCUCUUUCGUCGGGGAAGAAAAUGACUGUACCCGAAUAAGAAGGUCCGGCUAACUUCGUGCCAGCAGCCGCGGUAAUACGAAGGGACCUAGCGUAGUUCGGAAUUACUGGGCUUAAAGAGUUCGUAGGUGGUUGAAAAAGUUAGUGGUGAAAUCCCAGAGCUUAACUCUGGAACUGCCAUUAAAACUUUUCAGCUAGAGUAUGAUAGAGGAAAGCAGAAUUUCUAGUGUAGAGGUGAAAUUCGUAGAUAUUAGAAAGAAUACCAAUUGCGAAGGCAGCUUUCUGGAUCAUUACUGACACUGAGGAACGAAAGCAUGGGUAGCGAAGAGGAUUAGAUACCCUCGUAGUCCAUGCCGUAAACGAUGUGUGUUAGACGUUGGAAAUUUAUUUUCAGUGUCGCAGGGAAACCGAUAAACACACCGCCUGGGGAGUACGACCGCAAGGUUAAAACUCAAAUGAAUUGACGGGGACCCGCACAAGUAGUGGAGCAUGUGGUUUAAUUCGAAGAUACGCGCAGAACCUUACCAACACUUGACAUGUUCGUCGCGACUCUAAGAGAUUAGAGUUUUCGGUUCGGCCGGACGAAACACAGGUGCUGCAUGGCUGUCGUCAGCUCGUGUCGUGAGAUGUUGGGUUAAGUCCCGCAACGAGCGCAACCCUCACUUUUAGUUGCCAUCAUUAAGUUGGGCACUCUGAAAGAACUGCCGGUGAUAAGCUGGAGGAAGGUGGGGAUGACGUCAAGUCCUCAUGGCCCUUACGUGUUGGGCUACACACGUGCUACAAUGGUAUCUACAACAGGAAGCAAGACUGCGAAGUUAAGCAAAUCCCUAAAAGAUACCUCAGUUCGGAUUGCACUCUGCAACUCGAGUGCAUGAAGCUGGAAUUACUAGUAAUCGUGGAUCAGCGUGCCACGGUGAAUGCGUUCCCGGGUCU